Labrus mixtus (cuckoo wrasse) is the source of this 225-nucleotide long non-coding RNA. RefSeq lists it as uncharacterized. The record is from RefSeq and is a predicted model, not a curated record. NCBI's taxonomy places the organism in Eukaryota, Metazoa, Chordata, Actinopteri, Labriformes, Labridae. The transcript is spliced from 2 exons.
CCGGGUUCGAGUCCCACCUGUGGCUCCUUUCCUGCGUGUCAUUCCACACUAUAAAGAUAAAGAUAAAGAUAAACUUUAUUGAUUCCCCGUGGGGGAAAUUUGUGCAUUACAGCAGCUCCAGAAAACAGGGGACGGGAAUACAAUUAUUAAAAAUAAAAAUAGAAGUUAAAAAUCAAAUCAAACAUAUUUACAUCAGUUAAAUAAAAAAAAUACAAUAAUGGAAAA